GGUUAAGUGAAUAAGGGCGCACGGUGGAUGCCUUGGCACUAGGAGCCGAUGAAGGACGGGACUAACACCGAUAUGCUUCGGGGAGCUGUAAGUAAGCUUUGAUCCGGAGAUUUCCGAAUGGGGAAACCCAGCAUCUUUUAUAGGAUGUUACUUUUCAGUGAAUACAUAGCUGAUUAGAGGUAGACGCAGAGAACUGAAACAUCUAAGUACCUGCAGGAAGAGAAAGAAAAUUCGAUUCCCUGAGUAGCGGCGAGCGAAACGGGAAAAGCCCAAACCAAGAGGCUUGCCUCUUGGGGUUGUAGGACUCCGAUAUGGUAGUCCAGUGAGAUAGUCGAAGGACCUGGAAAGGUCUGCUAGAAAGGGUAAAAGCCCCGUAGACAAAAUUUGACUGGCACCUAGGAGGAUCCUGAGUACGGCGGAACACGAGGAAUUCCGUCGGAAUCCGGGAGGACCAUCUCCCAAGGCUAAAUACUCCCUAGUGACCGAUAGUGAACCAGUACCGUGAGGGAAAGGUGAAAAGCACCCCGGAAGGGGAGUGAAAUAGAUCCUGAAACCGUGUGCCUACAACAAGUUAGAGCCCGUUAAUGGGUGAUAGCGUGCCUUUUGUAGAAUGAACCGGCGAGUUACGAUUACUUGCGAGGUUAAGUUGAAAAAACGGAGCCGUAGCGAAAGCGAGUCUGAAUAGGGCGAAUGAGUAAGUGGUCGUAGACCCGAAACCAUGUGAUCUACCCAUGUCCAGGUUGAAGGUGCGGUAAAACGCACUGGAGGACCGAACCCACGUACGUUGAAAAGUGCGGGGAUGAGGUGUGGGUAGCGGAGAAAUUCCAAACGAACUUGGAGAUAGCUGGUUCUCUCCGAAAUAGCUUUAGGGCUAGCCUCAGAGUAAGAAUGAUGGAGGUAGAGCACUGUUUGGACUAGGGGCCCAUCUCGGGUUACCGAAUUCAGAUAAACUCCGAAUGCCAUCCAUUCAUCUCUGGGAGUCAGACUGUGAGUGAUAAGAUCCAUAGUCGAAAGGGAAACAGCCCAGACCACCAGCUAAGGUCCCCAAAUAACUAUUAAGUGGAAAAGGAUGUGGGGUUGCACAGACAACUAGGAUGUUGGCUCAGAAGCAGCCACCAUUUAAAGAGUGCGUAAUAGCUCACUAGUCGAGUGACCCUGCGCCGAAAAUGUACCGGGGCUAAAUAGUUUACCGAAGCUGUGGAACACACCAUAAGGUGUGUUGGUAGGAGAGCGUUCUAAGGGCGUUGAAGGUAGAUCGUGAGGACUGCUGGAGCGCUUAGAAGUGAGAAUGCCGGUAUGAGUAGCGAAAGACAGGUGAGAAUCCUGUCCACCGAAUGACUAAGGUUUCCUGGGGAAGGCUCGUCCGCCCAGGGUUAGUCGGGACCUAAGCCGAGGCCGAAAGGCGUAGGCGAUGGAUAACAGGUUGAUAUUCCUGUACCCGUUGUUUUUGUUUGAGCAAUGGAGGGACGCAGGAGGCUAAGGAAUCAGACGAUUGGAAAUGUCUGUCCAAGCAACAAGUCUUGAUGUGAGUCAAAUGCUUACGUCUUCAAGGACAAGUUGUGAUGGGGAGGGAAAUAAUAGUACCGAAGUUCCUGAUGUCACACUGCCGAGAAAAGCUUCUAGUGAGAAAACAAUGGCCCGUACCGCAAACCGACACAGGUAGUCGAGGAGAGAAUCCUAAGGUGAGCGAGAGAACUCUCGUUAAGGAACUCGGCAAAAUGACCCCGUAACUUCGGGAGAAGGGGUGCUGAUCUAACGAUCAGCCGCAGUGAAUAGGCCCAAGCGACUGUUUAUCAAAAACACAGGUCUCUGCAAAAUCGAAAGAUGACGUAUAGGGGCUGACGCCUGCCCGGUGCUGGAAGGUUAAGAGGAGUGCUUAGCGUAAGCGAAGGUACGAAUUGAAGCCCCAGUAAACGGCGGCCGUAACUAUAACGGUCCUAAGGUAGCGAAAUUCCUUGUCGGGUAAGUUCCGACCCGCACGAAAGGCGUAACGAUUUGGGCACUGUCUCAACGAGAGACUCGGUGAAAUUUUAGUACCUGUGAAGAUGCAGGUUACCCGCGACAGGACGGAAAGACCCCAUGGAGCUUUACUGCAGUUUGAUAUUGAGUGUUUGUACCACAUGUACAGGAUAGGUAGGAGCCGUAGAAGUCGGGACGCUAGUUUCGACAGAGGCGCUGGUGGGAUACUACCCCUGUGUUAUGACCACUCUAACCCGCACCACUAAGCGUGGUGGGAGACAGUGUCAGAUGGGCAGUUUGACUGGGGCGGUCGCCUCCUAAAAGGUAACGGAGGCGCCCAAAGGUUCCCUCAGAAUGGUUGGAAAUCAUUCGCAGAGUGUAAAGGCACAAGGGAGCUUGACUGCGAGACCUACAAGUCGAGCAGGGACGAAAGUCGGGCUUAGUGAUCCGGUGGUUCCGCAUGGAAGGGCCAUCGCUCAACGGAUAAAAGCUACCCUGGGGAUAACAGGCUUAUCUCCCCCAAGAGUCCACAUCGACGGGGAGGUUUGGCACCUCGAUGUCGGCUCGUCGCAUCCUGGGGCUGUAGUCGGUCCCAAGGGUUGGGCUGUUCGCCCAUUAAAGCGGCACGCGAGCUGGGUUCAGAACGUCGUGAGACAGUUCGGUCCCUAUCCGUCGCGGGCGUUGGAAAUUUGAGAGGAUCUGUCCUUAGUACGAGAGGACCGGGAUGGACUUACCGCUGGUGUACCAGUUGUCUCGCCAGAGGCAUCGCUGGGUAGCUAUGUAGGGAAGGGAUAAACGCUGAAAGCAUCUAAGUGUGAAGCCCACCUCAAGAUGAGAUUUCCCAUUUCUUUAAGAAAGUAAGAUCCCUGAGAGAUGAUCAGGUAGAUAGGUCAGAAGUGGAAGUGCAGUGAUGUACGGAGCGGACUGAUACUAAUCGAUCGAGGACUUAACCAA
This 2913-nucleotide ribosomal RNA is filed under the name Enterococcus dongliensis. Its description in RNAcentral is "23S ribosomal RNA". It matches the Rfam family "Bacterial large subunit ribosomal RNA". The record is from RNAcentral. Lineage: Bacteria; Bacillati; Bacillota; Bacilli; Lactobacillales; Enterococcaceae.